Long non-coding RNA from Scylla paramamosain (green mud crab), 876 nucleotides. RefSeq lists it as uncharacterized. The record is from RefSeq and is a predicted model, not a curated record. Lineage: Eukaryota; Metazoa; Arthropoda; Malacostraca; Decapoda; Portunidae. The transcript is spliced from 2 exons.
AAUUUAAUCUCAUCUUUUCGUCACGUUCGUUAAUUCUUCCAACACGAGUAUUACAUUUUCUUUCACUUAAGAACAAAGCUUAUUAAGAACAAUGUGCACUUUACCAGGUUAUUCACUCAGUUCUGAAGCGCACGAUGCCUAUUGUCUUGUUACUUACACAUUCCUCCCACACCACACCACACCAUUGUUAUCACCACCAUUGCCUUCGUUAGUCAUUUAUUUAAGUUUCCAAGCCACCGACUGAAUCAUGUGUGUAUCUUGCAAUAGUGAGGUUAUGACAUCGUGUUUCCUCGCUACAUAACACAACAUUGCUGCAUCCUGGUGACACACAAGCACGCACAUACGCGCCAGACAUGCAUCCCCAGCACAUCAGUCACGGCCGAUGCAUUACGCGGCCACACUAAGUCGUUGGGAAGUUAAAUGCAUGAUUCGCGCUCAACUUGCAUACAUAGAGGUCACGCCCGUCAUAAGCAUCAUGCAGGAGCAGCAAAACGGACACCACAAGGGAACAAAAAGGAAGAGUAAGCAGCAGCACCACCACCACCACCACCACCACCACCACACCUGUUGGCCCUUUGGGAUCUUUGUGUUAAAAGGAGAAGAAAGACGGUCAACUUCACUCAAAUUUUCGAUGUAAUUGUUAAAAACUGAGGAAUAUGUUGUAAUAUGAAAUAGAAAUAACAGAUUAAAAAUUUGUAAUAAUAAAAUUCAUUAACUUACUUACCAAAAAAUAUAUAUAUUUCAGAUAUCUUUUGUUUCUGAAUGCAAGUGUGUGUGUGUGUGUGUGUGUGUGUGUGUGUGUGUGUGUGUGUGUGUGUGUGUGUGAGAGAGAGAGAGAGAGAGAGAGAGAGAGAGAGAGAGAGAGAGAGAGAGAGA